This 2005-nucleotide long non-coding RNA is filed under the name Physcomitrium patens. RNAcentral's name for it is "long non-coding RNA (PPAT_LNC006599)". Lineage: Eukaryota; Viridiplantae; Streptophyta; Bryopsida; Funariales; Funariaceae. The record is from RNAcentral.
AAAACUCAAAAAUUUAGAUUAAAAAACUUAUUUCAGAAUGAUUAUUUUGUUGAGUAACAUUCAACUUUUGAACCAAAUUUUCACUGUUCAAACAUACAUUUAUUGAAUUCUAUUUAUGUAUACAUAAUGUCUAAAUUUAAUCUCUUAGAUAUUAGCCAAAGAAUGGAAAAUCUGUAAAGAAAUUUAAAAGCUAAAUUUCAAUUCAAAAGAGAUGCGAUAAGACCAUGUGCCGAUAAUUAAAAUCUAUUUUUGUCUUCUUUUUGUUUAGUUUUGUAAAACUGAUGAAUCUCAUAGCAGAUAUUUUAAGUUUUGCACAAGUCCAAAAAUCAACAUCUUGAAAUUGUCAUGAUUAUUUUUUGUUAUGUUUAUUCAAUAACAUAAACUGCAAAUAAAAAAAAUAAAAAUCCUGUGUAAUUUUUUAAUUUUAUUUUGAGAGUGAUCAAUGCAAUAAUUUCAUAUACAUAGUAAAAAUAAUACGUUCAAUGCAUGUUUCAAUCAAUAAUGUUUUGAAAGCCUGUCAAAAACAUUACAAAAAAUAUGAUGUUUGAAAUUAUAAAUUAAAUUUUUAAUUUUUUGAUUAAAAGUGAUAUUUUGCCUCUGAUUAGCAGAAAGUUAAUUUGGUUGUAAUAUGCAGUCUAUAAAGAAUAAGAUUUUUAAGGUUUUAGCAUUAAUGUUAAAUUGUAAUAAACUUAAAUUCUAAAAUUGAUAUUAUAUAUAUAUAUAUAUAUAUAUAUUUCUACAACUGUGACAGUUUUUGCUAUUACAACCCAUAUUGUUUUAGUUUCUUUUAACACCAAUAAAUUUUUGUUGUUAAUAUUUUCAAUAAGAUUUUUUUCCCUCUUUUUCUUCAAAUAAUAUAGAAAGUAUUUUUUUUUUGAAAAGUUUAUAUAAUAAUAAUAAUUCAUUUUACUAAGAAUAAGAUUAAAAUUAUUCUUAUUUUUAAAAACUAUUAUGAAUAUAAAUAUGUAAACACAUAACUACAAAAUAUAAAUUCAACCUUAUAUUUUUAAAAUAUUAUUUUUUAUUUAGCAUUGACAAAGGAAGAUGGGUGGCAUGUGGUGGAUGGCAAAUUGUGGUGGUAGUAGCAAUCCUCUAUACACACAAUGAAAACAUAUGUUAUUAUUUGGGAAUGAGAAAGGUUAUAAAUCUACUCCUAUUACUAUUUCACCAAUUUAACUAUUUAAUUAAAAUUGAGCCCAAAUACAUUGUAAAACUCUUGAUAUAAGCUAUUCAGAUGAAAAAUCUUGUGAAUUAAAAUAAAAAAAGAUUUUUCAUAAGUCAAACUUCCUAUUCAACUUAAAUUAAGUCAAGAAAUUUCAAUGGAAAAAAAAUUAAUUUUUUUUAUUAAAAUUAUAAAAUACUAAAUCUUUUUAAUUUUAUAUUUAUAUUAUUACUUACAAGUCACAAAUUAAUGGCAAUAAACCUCUUUAGUGUUCUAAAAUUAUAAAUUAAUACCUUGAGAGUUGACAUGCGAGACUUUUAAUACUAGGACAAGUAGUUUUUACUCACAGGAACUCAAAACUGGUUGAAGUCAGCAUUGAGAACAUCAUAAUAUUCUGUGUUAUUGAUUGAUUGACUAUAUUCGAUGGUACCAUAGAAGUUGCUAUUUAAAAAAUACAUAUAUUUGUUUGUGGGUCAGCACAUCUUUGAUAAAGCUUUAUCUAGAAUAGAACCCUCCAUUGACCCAUGGUUCAAAAUAUCCAUAUCUUAGAUUCAACUCUCUUAGUUUUGUUUGUUUGUUUGUUAUGCAAAGAAAAAGUACAAUAAAUUUAAAACAUGUUGACUUUAACAGAUCAGACCUUGAAUCAAGAAGCAAAGAUUGAAAGAAUCUUGCAAUUGCAAUGGCAGCUUAUCAAUGCACAAUUAAAUAUACGCAAGUGUGUAUAUGUAUAAAUAAAUAAAUGGUGAAAGUAUUACACAACAAAUAUAGACAUGGAUGCAUGCAUUCAUGCAUAUAUAAACAAAUGAAGUAAUAAAAGUUGUGUAUGUGUUUUAAAAAUAAUAA